AGUGAACGCUGGCGGUAGGCCUAACACAUGCAAGUCGAACGGCAGCACAGGAGAGCUUGCUCUCUGGGUGGCGAGUGGCGGACGGGUGAGGAAUACAUCGGAAUUUACUUUUUCGUGGGGGAUAACGUAGGGAAACUUACGCUAAUACCGCAUACGACCUACGGGUGAAAGCAGGGGACCUUCGGGCCUUGCGCGAUUGAAUGAGCCGAUGUCGGAUUAGCUAGUUGGCGGGGUAAAGGCCCACCAAGGCGACGAUCCGUAGCUGGUCUGAGAGGAUGAUCAGCCACACUGGAACUGAGACACGGUCCAGACUCCUACGGGAGGCAGCAGUGGGGAAUAUUGGACAAUGGGCGCAAGCCUGAUUCAGCCAUACCGCGUGGGUGAAGAAGGCCUUCGGGUUGUAAAGCCCUUUUGUUGGGAAAGAAAUCCAGCUGGCUAAUACCCGGUUGGGAUGACGGUACCCAAAGAAUAAGCACCGGCUAACUUCGUGCCAGCCGCCGCGGUAA
Molecule: ribosomal RNA, 506 nt
Filed under: uncultured bacterium
Lineage: Bacteria
Description: partial 16S ribosomal RNA
Rfam family: Bacterial small subunit ribosomal RNA
Source: RNAcentral